Eucalyptus grandis is the source of this 713-nucleotide long non-coding RNA. RefSeq lists it as uncharacterized. The transcript is spliced from 2 exons. The record is from RefSeq and is a predicted model, not a curated record. NCBI's taxonomy places the organism in Eukaryota, Viridiplantae, Streptophyta, Magnoliopsida, Myrtales, Myrtaceae.
UCUCUCUCUCUCUCUCUCUCUCUCAUUGACCCCUCACUUGCCCGCUCACCCCUCACCACUCGGGCACCUCUCUACCACCUGUUGUCGUUUCAUCAAUUGUUAGUGGAAUCCUUAACCUUCAACUAGGGCGAUGAGCUAUGAGACUUGUAGAUAUGGAUGUCUCAUCCCCUUACGACUUACCGAUGUCCUUGGAUGUGUCCGUCAUCAAUAUGGUUGAUGUAGAGAAUGACGUAAUUUAUUGUAAUAAUUCCAUCGCAUGGAUCGAAGAAGGCUUGGACGACUGGGUUCCUCAUCGCUAUGUAGCAUGGUAUGCGUGGUUUGAUGGCAAUCUCACAAGGUUACUCCGAGGCUUCAAUGGACCAUUCGAGUUCACUAGUGGGUCCAUGCCUAACCGAAUGGUGAUCAACCUUUAGGGUAAAUUACAUGGCGACAGGCAUACCAAUUUUGGAGCCGUGGCCAUGCUAGAGGAGAUAGGAAUCCCCUGGCCUACUCGGAUAAAAGGAUAAUAUAAAUAAGGGAGUGCCCAUAGAAAAAGGCCAUGUAAAUGUACCUACGCAUAAUGAAAGUAGUGUAUUAUGUGAUGUGUUUUCCUAACUGCUUGAUUGUUGUCUAGGUGAUUGCUUUUGUACAUGCUUUAACUUGCUUGUAAGAACAAGAUGAAUUGAAAAGAAAUGGGUCGACAACAUGCCUGGGACGUUGUAUCCCUAUCGGCU